GACGAACGCUGGCGGCGUGCCUAAUACAUGCAAGUCGAGCGGACGAAUCGAAAGCUUGCUUUUGAUUCGUUAGCGGCGGACGGGUGAGUAACACGUGGGCAACCUGCCCUGUAGACGGGGAUAACACCGAGAAAUCGGUGCUAAUACCGGAUAACACGAAAUAUCGUAUGACGUUUCGUUGAUAGACAGCGCAAGCUGUCGCUACAGGAUGAGCCCGCGGCGCAUUAGCUAGUUGGUGAGGUAACGGCUCACCAAGGCGACGAUGCGUAGCCGACCUGAGAGGCUGAUCGGCCACACUGGAACUGAGGACCGGCCCAGACUCCUACGGGAGGCAGCAGUAGGGAAUCUGCCGCAAUGGAAGAAAGUCUGACGGAGCAACGCCGCGUGAGCGAAGAAGGCCUUCGGGUCGUAAAGCUCUGUUGUUAGGGAAGAACAAGUAACGCAGUAACUGGCGUUAUCGUGACGGUACCUAACGAGAAAGCAACGGCUAACUACGUG
Molecule: ribosomal RNA, 498 nt
Filed under: uncultured bacterium
Lineage: Bacteria
Description: partial 16S ribosomal RNA
Rfam family: Bacterial small subunit ribosomal RNA
Source: RNAcentral